This 815-nucleotide ribosomal RNA is filed under the name uncultured bacterium. RNAcentral's name for it is "bacterial SSU rRNA". It matches the Rfam family "Bacterial small subunit ribosomal RNA", at positions 589 to 1426 of the family's 1533-position model. The record is from RNAcentral.
AGGUAGUGAAAUCCUGGGGCUCAACCCUUUAAACAUUAUCUAAACUGCUAAGCUAGAAUAUAGAAGAGGUACUGGAAUCCUGUGUAGGAGAGAAAUCGUAGAUAUAAGGAGGAACACCGAUGGCGUAGGCAGGUAUGGUCUUUAUUGACGUAAGGCAGAAAGCGUGGGUAGCAAACGGGAUUAGAUACCCCGGUAGUCCACGCCGUAAACUAUGGAUGCUAGCUGUUAGAAGUAUCGACCCUUCUAGUAGCGAAGCUAACGCGUUAAGCAUCCCGCCUGUGGAGUACGAGCGCAAGCUUAAAACAUAAAGGAAUUGACGGGGACCCGCACAAGCGGUGGAGCGUGUUGUUUAAUUCGACGAUAAGCGAAGAACCUUACCCAGGCUUGACAUCCUGCGAAUCUUGCCGAAAGGCGAGAGUGCUUUAUUGAGCGCAGUGACAGGUGCUGCAUGGCCGUCGUCAGCUCGUGUCGUGAGAUGUUUGGUUAAGUCCAUCAACGAGCGCAACCCUUGUAGUCAGUUGGAUUUCUCUGGCUAGACCGCCCCGGCAACGGGGAGGAAGGAGGGGAUGAUGUCAGGUCAGUAUUGCUCUUACGCCUGGGGCUACAAACACGCUACAAUGGCCGGUACAAAGGGCAGCCAACCCGCGAGGGGGAGCAAAUCCCAUCAAAGCCGGUCCCAGUUCGGAUAGCAGGCCGAAACUCGCCUGCUUGAAGUCGGAAUCGCUAGUAACGGUAGGUCAGCACACUACCGUGAAUACGUUCCCGGGUCUUGUACACACCGCCCGUCAAACCAUGAAAGUCACCAAUACCUGACG